Molecule: ribosomal RNA, 813 nt
Filed under: uncultured Acidobacteriota bacterium
Lineage: Bacteria; Pseudomonadati; Acidobacteriota
Description: bacterial SSU rRNA
Rfam family: Bacterial small subunit ribosomal RNA
Source: RNAcentral
UUUCCUCGCAAGGGGAAACUGAGUGGCGAACGGGUGAGUAACGCGUGGGUGACCUACCUUCGAGUGGGGGAUAACGUCCCGAAAGGGACGCUAAUACCGCAUGACAUCCUGCCUUUGAAUAGGUGGAGAUCAAAGCCGGGGAUCGCAAGACCCGGCGCUUGAUGAGGGGCCCGCGUCCGAUUAGCUAGUUGGUGGGGUAACGGCUCACCAAGGCGACGAUCGGUAUCCGGCCUGAGAGGGCGGACGGACACACUGGGACUGAGACACGGCCCAGACUCCUACGGGAGGCAGCAGUGGGGAAUUGUUCACAAUGGGCGCAAGCCUGAUGACGCAAUGCCGCGUGGAGGAUGAAGGUCUUCGGAUUGUAAACUCCUGUUGCCAGGGACGAAUGGCUCCGACCUAAUACGUCGGAGUAUGACGGUACCUGGUGAGGAAGCCCCGGCUAACUCUGUGCCAGCAGCCGCGGUAAUACAGAGGGGGCAAGCGUUGUUCGGAAUUACUGGGCGUAAAGGGCGCGUAGGCGGCCUUCUAAGUCGAACGUGAAAUCCCCGGGCUCAACCCGGGAACUGCGUCCGAUACUGGGAGGCUUGAAUCCGGGAGAGGGAUGUGGAAUUCCAGGUGUAGCGGUGAAAUGCGUAGAUAUCUGGAGGAACACCGGUGGCGAAGGCGGCAUCCUGGACCGGUAUUGACGCUGAGGCGCGAAAGCUAGGGGAGCAAACGGGAUUAGAUACCCCGGUAGUCCUAGCCCUAAACGAUGAAUGCUUGGUGUGGCGGGUAUCGAUCCCUGCCGUGCCGAAGCUAACGCAUUAAGCA